GCGGACGAACCUCUGGUGUGCCAGUUGUCGCGCCAGCGGCACGGCUGGUUAGCCACGUUCGGCAGAGAUAAGCGCUGAAAGCAUCUAAGUGCGAAGCUCGCCCCAAGAUGAGGUCUCCCACUGGGUCGACCAGGUAAGGCCCCUCGCAGACUACGAGGUUGAUAGGCCGGAGGUGUACGCGCGGCAACGCGUUGAGCCGACCGGUACUAAUAGGCCGAGGACUUGACUC
RNAcentral lists this ribosomal RNA (229 nucleotides) under Actinomycetota bacterium. RNAcentral describes it as "Actinobacteria bacterium (sediment metagenome) partial 23S ribosomal RNA". It matches the Rfam family "Bacterial large subunit ribosomal RNA", at positions 2697 to 2925 of the family's 2925-position model. Lineage: Bacteria; Bacillati; Actinomycetota. The record is from RNAcentral.